AGAGUUUGAUCCUGGCUCAGAAUCAACGCUGGCGGCGUGCCUAACACAUGCAAGUCGAGCGAGAAAGUGGUAGCAAUACCAUGAGUAAAGCGGCGCACGGGUGAGUAACACGUGACUAACCUACCCUGGAGUGGGGAAUAACUGAGGGAAACCUUAGCUAAUACCGCAUAAUACCUACGGGUCAAAGGAGCAAUUCGCUCUGGGAGGGGGUCGCGGCCGAUUAGUUAGUUGGCGGGGUAAUGGCCCACCAAGACGAUGAUCGGUAUCCGGCCUGAGAGGGCGCACGGACACACUGGAACUGAAACACGGUCCAGACUCCUACGGGAGGCAGCAGUGGGGAAUUUUGCGCAAUGGGGGAAACCCUGACGCAGCAACGCCGCGUGGAGGAUGAAGUCCUUCGGGACGUAAACUCCUUUCGAUCGGGACGAUAAUGACGGUACCGGAAGAAGAAGCCCCGGCUAACUUCGUGCCAGCAGCCGCGGUAAUACGAGGGGGGCGAGCGUUGUUCGGAAUUAUUGGGCGUAAAGGGUGCGUAGGCGGUUUGGUAAGUCUUCUGUGAAAUCUAUGGGCUCAACUCAUAGACUGCAUGAGAAACUGCCGGGCUUGAGUGUGGGAGAGGUGAGUGGAAUUUCCGGUGUAGCGGUGAAAUGCGUAGAUAUCGGAAGGAACACCUGUGGCGAAAGCGGCUCACUGGACCACAACUGACGCUGAUGCACGAAAGCUAGGGGAGCAAACAGGAUUAGAUACCCCAGUAGUCC
Molecule: ribosomal RNA, 758 nt
Filed under: uncultured bacterium
Lineage: Bacteria
Description: bacterial SSU rRNA
Rfam family: Bacterial small subunit ribosomal RNA
Source: RNAcentral